This 474-nucleotide ribosomal RNA is filed under the name uncultured bacterium. RNAcentral's name for it is "bacterial SSU rRNA". It matches the Rfam family "Bacterial small subunit ribosomal RNA", at positions 335 to 801 of the family's 1533-position model. The record is from RNAcentral.
ACUCCUACGGGAGGCAGCAGUAGGGAAUCUUCCACAAUGGGCGCAAGCCUGAUGGAGCAACACCGCGUGAGUGAAGAAGGGUUUCGGCUCGUAAAGCUCUGUUGUUAAAGAAGAACACGUAUGAGAGUAACUGUUCAUACGUUGACGGGUAUUUAACCAGAAAGUCACGGCUAACUACGUGCCAGCAGCCGCGGUAAUACGUAGGUGGCAAGCGUUAUCCGGAUUUAUUGGGCGUAAAGAGAGUGCAGGCGGUUUUCUAAGUCUGAUGUGAAAGCCUUCGGCUUAACCGGAGAAGUGCAUCGGAAACUGGAUAACUUGAGUGCAGAAGAGGGUAGUGGAACUCCAUGUGUAGCGGUGGAAUGCGUAGAUAUAUGGAAGAACACCAGUGGCGAAGGCGGCUACCUGGUCUGCAACUGACGCUGAGACUCGAAAGCAUGGGUAGCGAACAGGAUUAGAUACCCUGGUAGGAUAGCG